MicroRNA precursor from Oryza sativa Japonica Group (Japanese rice), 275 nucleotides. It matches the Rfam family "MIR821 microRNA precursor family". The record is from Rfam. NCBI's taxonomy places the organism in Eukaryota, Viridiplantae, Streptophyta, Magnoliopsida, Poales, Poaceae.
GAUAUCAACUGAAAAAGUCAUCAACAACAAAGUUGAAUAACUCAUCAAGAUCUAAAACUUUUAUUUUGGUCAUUUCUUCAUACGACAAAGUGAUAGUAACAUUGUUCACAAAAUUGACAUAUCUCUUAUCUGGUUUUAUAAACUAUAACACAUAUAUGUAAAAUUUGUGAAUAAUAUUAAUAACGUUUCGUCGGAUGAAGAAAUAACAAAAAUAAAAGUUUUAGACCUUGAUGAGUUAUUCAACUUUGUUGUUGAUGACUUUUUCAGUUGAUAUC